CCUUCGAUAGCUCAGUUGGUAGAGCGGGGGACUGUAGAUUUAUAAUUGUGAUCCCUAGGUCGCUGGUUCAAAUCCGGCUCGAAGGA
This 86-nucleotide transfer RNA is filed under the name Nematostella vectensis (starlet sea anemone). It matches the Rfam family "tRNA". Rfam says of the family: Transfer RNA (tRNA) molecules are approximately 80 nucleotides in length. Their secondary structure includes four short double-helical elements and three loops (D, anti-codon, and T loops). Lineage: Eukaryota; Metazoa; Cnidaria; Anthozoa; Actiniaria; Edwardsiidae. The record is from Rfam by way of RNAcentral.